GACGUAGGGCGCGAGCGUUGUCCGGAUUUACUGGGCGUAAAGAGCUCGUAGGUGGUUUGUCGCGUUGUUCGUGAAAACUCACAGCUCAACUGUGGGCGUGCGGGCGAUACGGGCAGACUAGAGUACUGCAGGGGAGACUGGAAUUCCUGGUGUAGCGGUGGAAUGCGCAGAUAUCAGGAGGAACACCGGUGGCGAAGGCGGGUCUCUGGGCAGUAACUGACGCUGAGGAGCGAAAGCGUGGGGAGCGAACAGG
RNAcentral lists this ribosomal RNA (253 nucleotides) under uncultured bacterium. RNAcentral describes it as "partial 16S ribosomal RNA". It matches the Rfam family "Bacterial small subunit ribosomal RNA", at positions 524 to 776 of the family's 1533-position model. The record is from RNAcentral.